RNAcentral lists this ribosomal RNA (1900 nucleotides) under human gut metagenome. Its description in RNAcentral is "bacterial LSU rRNA". It matches the Rfam family "Bacterial large subunit ribosomal RNA", at positions 3 to 1985 of the family's 2925-position model. The record is from RNAcentral.
UCAAGCUGUAAAGGGCGCAAGGGGAAUGCCUUGGCACUGAGAGCCGACGAAGGACGCGACAAGCUGCGAUAAGCUACGGGGAGCCGCAAAUGGGCUUUGAUCCGUAGAUUUCCGAAUGGGGAAACCCGGCAGAGCAAUACUCUGUCAACGUACACUGAAUACAUAGGUGUAUGUGGGGAACCGCCUGAACUGAAACAUCUAAGUAGGGCGAGGAAGAGAAAUCAACCGAGAUUCCGCUAGUAGUGGCGAGCGAACGCGGAAGAGGCCAAACCGAAGGUAGCAAUAUCUUCGGGGUUAGGACUGCAACAUGCAGCUUUCAUUUUUAACCGAAUGCUUUGGGAAGAGCAGCGAAACAGGGUGAUAGCCCCGUAGGUGAAAAGAAUGGAGCGCUAGCAGUAUCCAGAGUACCAGCGGACACGUGAAACCCGCUGGGAAGAUGGGGGGACCAUCCUCCAAGCCUAAAUACUACUCAGUGACCGAUAGUGGAGCAGUACCGUGAGGGAAAGGUGAAAAGUACCCCGGGAGGGGAGUGAAAGAGAACCUGAAACCUUGUGCCUACAAGCACCGAGAGCACGUUAAAGUGUGAUCGGGUACUUUUUGUAGAACGGUCCGGCGAGUUAAUAUUUGCAGCGAGGUUAAGUAACUGGAGUUACGGAGCCGCAGCGAGAGCGAGUCUGAAUAGGGCGUAUGAAGUUGCAGGUAUUAGACCCGAAACCGGGUGACCUAUCCAUGAGCAGGCUGAAGCGGUGGUAAGACACCGUGGAGGGCCGCACCCACGUCUGUUGAAAAAGCCGGGGAUGACUUGUGGAUAGCGGAGAAAUUCCAAUCGAACUCGGAGAUAGCUGGUUCUCCCCGAAAUAGCUUUAGGGCUAGCGUUAUUUUAGAUUACCGGAGGUAAAGCACUGAAUGGUCUAGGGGCCGCGAGGUUACCAAAGCCUAUCAAACUCUGAAUGCCGGAUAAUUGAUGAAUAGCAGUCAGACUGUGUGAGAUAAGUCUCAUAGUCAAAAGGGAAACAGCCCAGAUCUACAGCUAAGGUCCCAAAUGAACACUAAGUGGAAAAUGAUGUGAAACUGCUAAGACAACCAGGAUGUUGGCUUAGAAGCAGCCACUCAUUCAAAGAGUGCGUAAUAGCUCACUGGUCGAGUGGUUUUGCGCAGAAAAUGUAACGGGGCUAAGUGUUCAACCGAAGCUUAGGCAUUGCAGUAAUGCAUUGGGUAGGGGAGCGUCGUAUGCGGGGCGAAGUCAGAGCGGAAGCACUGGUGGACUGCAUACGAGUGAGAAUGCCGGAAUAAGUAGCGAGAAUUAUGUGAGAAUCAUAAUGGCCGAAAAUCUAAGGUUUCCUGGGGAAGGUUCGUCCGCCCAGGGUUAGUCGGGAGCUAAGCUCAGGCCGAAAGGCGUAGGCGAUGCACAUACGGUAGAAAUUCCGUAACCACCGAACUUUAAGCUAGAGGGACGCUUUCUUUAAGGUUAUCCCGGGCGAUGGUUGCCCCGGGCGUAAGGGACCGAAAUUUAGUAGGGAAGUAACUGGCGAGAGAGACGAGAAAAGCUCUAGUGUAUACUAAGGUGCCCGUACCGCAAACCGACACAGGUAGAAGGGAUGAGUAUUCUAAGGCCAACGGGAGAAGGGUUGUUAAGGAACUCGGCAAAUUGGCCCCGUAACUUCGGGAUAAGGGGCGCCUGCGAGAGCAGGCCGCAGUGAAAAGGCCCAAGCGACUGUUUAGCAAAAACACAGCUCUCUGCUAAAUCGAAAGAUGACGUAUAGGGGGUGACGCCUGCCCGGUGCUGGAAGGUUAAGGGGAGUGCUUAGCGCAAGCGAAGGUGCGAACUUAAGCCCCAGUAAACGGCGGCCGUAACUAUAACGGUCCUAAGGUAGCGAAAUUCCUUGUCAGGUAAGUUCUG